This 428-nucleotide long non-coding RNA is filed under the name Ananas comosus (pineapple). Its description in RNAcentral is "long non-coding RNA (ACOM_LNC007063)". The record is from RNAcentral. Lineage: Eukaryota; Viridiplantae; Streptophyta; Magnoliopsida; Poales; Bromeliaceae.
UGUCUUCACCCAUGGACAUAGGCCGUUGGCCGAACCACGUAAAUUUUAGUGCUCUUUCCUUUUCUUUUCUCUUCCUGCAUUAAGUAUUUUUUUUGGAUCUAUUUUUUGCCAUUCCGAUUUUAACAGUUGGUGUUCAAAAGUGGGAGUUGAAUGUGUCGGAAUUAAAACGGGACUUCGAGAAGGCGUAUGAUAGAGUGAAUUGGGAUUAUGUAAGAAAGGUCAUGAGGUGGCUCAAGGCCAAUCAAAAAUGGUGCAAAUGGAUUGAACAGUGCAUUUCCAAUGACAAAGCUGUUGUUCUGGUUAACGGGACUGUAACACACUGGACCUUUGCAAAUUGCGAGGUUCGAGUGUUUAAUCAGUGUUCCGAGUUUUUCCAGAUAUUCUGGAGGGUCGUUGACAGUGUUUCGACCUAUGGCUUGCAUUCCGAG